RNAcentral lists this ribosomal RNA (253 nucleotides) under uncultured bacterium. Its description in RNAcentral is "partial 16S ribosomal RNA". It matches the Rfam family "Bacterial small subunit ribosomal RNA", at positions 524 to 776 of the family's 1533-position model. The record is from RNAcentral.
UACAGAGGUCUCAAGCGUUGUUCGGAUUCAUUGGGCGUAAAGGGUGCGUAGGCGGCGCGGUAAGUCGGGUGUGAAAUCUUGGAGCUUAACUCCGAAACUGCAUUCGAUACUGCCGUGCUUGAGGACUGGAGAGGAGACUGGAAUUUACGGUGUAGCGGUGAAAUGCGUAGAUAUCGUAAGGAAGACCAGUGGCGAAGGCGGGUCUCUGGGCAACAACUGACGCUGAGGAGCGAAAGCGUGGGGAGCGAACAGG